UACGUAGGGUGCAAGCGUUAAUCGGAAUUACUGGGCGUAAAGCGUGCGCAGGCGGUGAUGUAAGACAGAUGUGAAAUCCCCGGGCUCACCUGGGAACUGCAUUUGUGACUGCAUCGCUGGAGUACGGCGAGAGGGGGAUGGAAUUCCGCGUGUAGCAGUGAAAUGCGUAGAUAUGCGGAGGAACACCGAUGGCGAAGGCAAUCCCCUGGGCCUGUACUGACGCUCAUGCACGAAAGCGUGGGGAGCAAACAGG
This 253-nucleotide ribosomal RNA is filed under the name uncultured bacterium. RNAcentral describes it as "partial 16S ribosomal RNA". It matches the Rfam family "Bacterial small subunit ribosomal RNA", at positions 524 to 776 of the family's 1533-position model. The record is from RNAcentral.